Molecule: non-coding RNA, 104 nt
Organism: Mycena polygramma
Lineage: Eukaryota; Fungi; Basidiomycota; Agaricomycetes; Agaricales; Mycenaceae
Source: the annotation of a GenBank genome assembly
GGGCGUAUGGUGUAGUGGUAUCACUCAUGCUUUGCAUGGCGCGUGCGCACCCACGGCACGUAAAACGAUGUAUGCGGUCCAGGGUUCAAACCCCUGUGCGUCCA